UACGGAGGAUCCGAGCGUUAUCCGGAAUCAUUGGGUUUAAAGGGUCCGUAGGCGGGCCAUUAAGUCAGGGGUGAAAGUCUGCGGCUCAACCGUAGAAUUGCCCUUGAUACUGGUGGUCUUGAGUUAUGGUGAAGUAACUAGAAUAUGUAGUGUAGCGGUGAAAUGCAUAGAUAUUACAUAGAAUACCGAUUGCGAAGGCAGGUUACUAACCAUAUACUGACGCUGAUGGACGAAAGCGUGGGGAGCGAACAGG
Molecule: ribosomal RNA, 253 nt
Filed under: uncultured bacterium
Lineage: Bacteria
Also listed under: 1 other name
Description: partial 16S ribosomal RNA
Rfam family: Bacterial small subunit ribosomal RNA
Source: RNAcentral